Lactuca sativa (garden lettuce) is the source of this 1217-nucleotide RNA transcript. RefSeq lists it as uncharacterized. NCBI's taxonomy places the organism in Eukaryota, Viridiplantae, Streptophyta, Magnoliopsida, Asterales, Asteraceae. The record is from RefSeq and is a predicted model, not a curated record.
UUGGUGAGAUCGAAGGAUUUGUAACUUAGGGUUUUAGUGAAGAUGUUGGGCGCUGGAUUGCAACAUGCCGGCGAAAGCGAGAAGGAUUCGUCAGCAUCAAGAGAACCUCCGUAGAGCUCAAAGUAACGUUACUCCGCCCCAAUCUACGACAUCUUCUGUCAGGGAGGAGUCGGAGAAUCAACUCAUGCAGCCAUCAAAUCCGGAGCCGUUGGAAUCCUCAGUGGUGGCGGUGCCGGCAACAUCAUCGUUGUGUAAUCUUGAACGGUUUUUGGAAACUGUUACGCCUUCUGUUCCUGUUCAACAUCUCUCCAAGAGAACUAUGAGAGGAUGGAGGACAAGUGAUGUGGAAUAUCAACCAUACUUUGUUCUUGGUGAUUUGUGGGAAUCUUUCAAGGAGUGGAGUGCUUAUGGUGUUGGAGUUCCUUUAAUAUUGAAUGAAGCUAAUUGUGUGAUCCAAUAUUAUGUGCCUUAUUUAUCUGGAAUUCAAAUAUAUGUAGACCAUUUGAAGUCUUCAAUAAAUUCCAGGCAACUAACUGAGGAUAUUGAUGAUAACUCAUUUACGGAUUCAAGUAGUGAUGGGAGCAGUGAUUAUGAACAGGAAAAGGGUUCUUUACAUUAUCUAAGGGAGAAGAGUAAUAAUCAUCACCCAAAGAAUGACAUUCUUCACCGAAUGGAUCAUUUUUCAAUGAAUGAUGAGAACAAUGUAGUUCAAGAAGACUUUUCUAGUGAUGAUAGUGAUUCUGCCACCACUCAAAGUUGCUUGAUAUUUGAGUACAUGGAACAUAGUUAGCCUUUGGGAACCUUUGUGUGAUAAGAUACUUGAUCUUGCACAACGCUUCCCUGAAAUGAAAAGUCUAAGAAGUUGUGACUUGCUGCCAUCUAGUUGGCUUUCUGUCGCUUGCACACACAUAAGGUUUAAAGAAACAUUAUUGCCUAUUUUGUUGUGCAAGACAAGAAACACUAUAAGGGUUAGUCAGGAUAUGGGAAUAGAGGCUCCUAUACCUAUAAGCACAAAAUUGGGAGAUUUCAAUAAUAUAUUUGGAAGAAUUAUGAGAGCUGCAGAGCAUCCUCAUUUGAGCAUCCCUGAAACUGAAGCUGGGAAAACUCGAAAACAUUAUAACAGGCUUCUUAACUUAUCUCUGAUGGUUGUUUCUGUGGGGGCUGCAGUUGCUGUUGUGGGGCUUGCUUCAUUGCUGUUGGAUAAUGUCAUACAUUAG